This 546-nucleotide ribosomal RNA is filed under the name Tephritis cometa. Its description in RNAcentral is "partial large subunit ribosomal RNA". The stretch from base 399 to 546 matches the Rfam family "Bacterial large subunit ribosomal RNA", at positions 2473 to 2620 of the family's 2925-position model. Lineage: Eukaryota; Metazoa; Arthropoda; Insecta; Diptera; Tephritidae. The record is from RNAcentral.
CAAAAACAUGUCUUUUUGAGUUAUUUUUAAAGUUUAACCUGCCCAAUGAAUGAUUUUUAAUGGCCGCAGUAAUUUGACUGUGCAAAGGUAGCAUAAUAAUUAGUCUUUUAAUUGAAGGCUAGAAUGAAUGGUUGGACGAAGUAUAAUCUGUUUCAUUUAAAUUUAUUAUAGAAUUUUAUAUUUUAGUAAAAAAGCUAAAAUUUUUUUAAAAGACGAGAAGACCCUAUAAAUCUUUAUAAUUUAUAAUAAUUUUUUUUUUUUUGAUUUAUUUUAUUUUAAUAAUUUAGAUUAUUUUAUUGGGGUGAUAUUAAAAUUUAAAUAACUUUUAAUUUUUUUUUAACAUUAAUUUAUGAUUUAUUGAUCCAUUAAUAAUGAUUAUAAGAAUAAGUUACUUUAGGGAUAACAGCGUAAUUUUUUUGGAGAGUUCUUAUUGAUAAAAAAGUUUGCGACCUCGAUGUUGGAUUAAGAUAUAAUUUUAGGUGUAGUUGCUUAAAUAAUAAGUCUGUUCGACUUUUAAAUUCUUACAUGAUCUGAGUUCAAACCGGA